This is a long non-coding RNA of Ornithodoros turicata, 736 nucleotides long. RefSeq lists it as uncharacterized. The transcript has 2 exons. Lineage: Eukaryota; Metazoa; Arthropoda; Arachnida; Ixodida; Argasidae. The record is from RefSeq and is a predicted model, not a curated record.
CGGUGCCAAAGCACGUGACACGUACCUACCCCGUGCGCACUUUCUCAAAACCUUCUUUCCUACUUCGUGCACUUUGUCUUGCGCAGACUUGUGUUUGAAUCCCUGUCACCUGUGUGUUGUAGUUGCGUUCAUCUGUGGUUGCUACGUAUUUUUUCUUUUUGCUUGAAAAACUAUGUCCCGCAAAGAUUUCUGCGUACCCCCGAAAAAGGGGAGUUGUCCUAAGGUCACGUAUAAGUAUCAUCGAAACGAGGUCCCUGAUUUCGUGAAGGAGGGAAACUACGUUCGAGCGUAUCAUGGAGCUCCUGCACACGCAGUUCCCAAAAUUGACCAGGAAAAGCGGCUGAUACCUGGACCACGAGACCUUCACGGAGAAAGUGGCGCAAUCUAUGUUACCCCUACCAAGAAGGAAGCAAAGUUGUACGCUCCAGGACGAGGCAGGGUCAUCGAUGUCCUUGUUGAAAAAGGUGCUUACACCGUUCACGAGGGGCACGACUCUCUUAUAAAUGGUACUGCAUACCGUGUUUCUGAUCCAAGUAAGGUAUUCCUGCCAGGACGUGAUUUGAAGAAGUAAUGCAGUUCAGCCAGAGGUCAAGUUUCCUUCAAGUGAAGUGACCUAGUGCCACAUGAUACUUCCCUAGAUUUGUUUCUAUAACAUAACCUGUUACUAACAGUUCAGUAAGACACUGAGUGCUUUGUGUAUUUUCUUUACUAAAUAAAAGUGUUUGACAGCUGUAAA